RNAcentral lists this ribosomal RNA (370 nucleotides) under uncultured bacterium. RNAcentral describes it as "bacterial SSU rRNA". It matches the Rfam family "Bacterial small subunit ribosomal RNA", at positions 28 to 391 of the family's 1533-position model. The record is from RNAcentral.
GAUGAACGCUAGCGGCAGGCUUAACACAUGCAAGUCGAGGGGCAGCAUUGUGAGUAGCAAUACUUACAGAUGGCGACCGGCGCAAGGGUGCGUAACGCGUGAGCAACAUGCCCGUAACAGGGGGAUAAUCCAGGGAAACUUGGUCUAAUACCGGCAUAAUAUCAAUUAGAGGCAUCUUUGAUUGAUUAAAUUCGAUGGUUACGGAUUGGCUCGCGUGACAUUAGCUAGAUGGAGAGGUAACGGCUCACCAUGGCGACGAUGUCUAGGGGAACUGAGAGGUUUAUCCCCCGANACUGGUACUGAGACACGGACCAGACUCCUACGGAGCAGCAGUGAGGAAUAUUGGUCAAUGGACGCAAGUCUGAACCAG